RNAcentral lists this long non-coding RNA (1896 nucleotides) under Paramuricea clavata. Lineage: Eukaryota; Metazoa; Cnidaria; Anthozoa; Malacalcyonacea; Plexauridae. The record is from RNAcentral.
ACCGCAAGAAUGUCGAGAAGCAAGGAAGAAAAACAGAGGACAUUUUUUAUCAAUUUCACCUUUAUUGGAAGGUAAUAUGUUUUAUUUAAUAUCAAUCCUUGUAGUAGAGUACUUAGAUUGCCAAUAUAGAUGGAAAUUUAGGACAUCGAGCCCGAAUUUAAUGCGAUAUUUCGGCAUAAAGUUUGUGCUUUUGCUUUGCACGUGGCUCGCUUCAUGGGCGAUUGUCGAACUUUAAACCGUAUUUUAGUUCGUAAUUAUUGUCAAUACUGUAGACCAAGUGAGUAAAAGGACUAAUUAAGAUCUGGAAUUGUUUAAGUUGUCGAAAAAACUUGUUAUCUCUGAGUUGUUGCCGAAAAUGUUUGUAUUAAAUGCCGUAUACCGAGACCAGGCGCUUGGUGGGUAAUUUCAUCAGCUUGUACAUUUUAACAAUCUUGCGACAAAAUGUUUUAACAAUAUGCUGUUUUUGUUCAUUUAUAAUAAUUUUGCAGAAAAAACCUAGCUUUAGCAACAUUACAACGUAUUUGAUUCUUGCUUGCAAAACAAAAAAUUGAAAAUAAAAAAAAAUUUAAUUAAAAAUAAAACUAAGUGAAAAUUGCUACAAUAAGGCAAAAUCCAGAAUUGUGUUUGUUGACGUCACUGCAGACUGGUAUAAAUUUUGAUAGUAAAAGGCCAUGAGGUGCGACUAUGGGUAGGUGGGGCUUUUCGGCAAGCGGGUUAGUAAGAUUAAUUUAAACUUCUGAGGGUGGGAAGCAUGGGUGGAUUUACUGGUGGGUUAGGGCCCUAGAAUCUCUCUAGCUCCUCUUAUAAAGUGUUGAACCCCACCAAAAUUUUGCUUCACUCCUCCUAUUUUAUGUAAUAGUCUUUAACCCUAACGCCUGGCGAAGCUCAAUGCACCAGCAGCAGUGUAAAGCCUUUUUUCGACAUGGGCUGUUGAACUUAAAAGCAUAUUUAACUUGAUUUAUUGGUACAGUGGAUGCUUGGAGUCAAAAUGAAGUUGAAAAAAAUUUCAAUCAAAUUUCAAUGUUUCCAAUUCAUCCGCAUUUUUCUGAUCAUUUUUGAACAUUACAAAAAAUAGCAAAGAAUAUGUGGUUCAGAAUACAAAUUUUCUUCAAAUAUUUUUGGCUUGACAUCGGUCAGCAAUUGCUGUGAUCAGUUGGCAUUGCCAUAACAUAUAAACAUUUCAAGAAACAAUAACUGCACGGGCAACAGGCAUCAAGUUACAUCAUAAAGCAAACAACAGAAAAUAGGGUAGGCAGGUAAGCGAACAACUCAUGAUCAACCACAUCUAGAAAAACAUUAGGGCAGACAAAAUAGGGUUGGCUGGAAAACCGGAACCACAGGAUAUUGUUUUGUUUCAGGCUCUAUUCAUAUUGAGCUUUUCAUCUCGCUAGCCAAGCUAUUCACAUCCUCAGUAAAAUUCUCAGAAAUGUUUGUAGAUGCACAGUGCAAGUUCCAAGAAUGUCGCAAGCCUUUGCCUCAAGACCUCAUGAUUACGAAAAAUGGGCACAUUCCAAGAUCCUAACAGAGGUAAAUGAUUUUUCUUCUAAUUAUUUGAAUUUAUUUCUGACCUCCUUAUAUUUCUUGGAAAAUUUUCUUUGUAAUAUAUUAAUUUGUUUCAUGUUCUCAACAGUGAGUUUUUAAAAUGUUCUAGAUUGGUGUUGCAAUUUCCAAGAAUGUCUCAAGUUGUUGGCUGAAGUGUUUUGGAUCACAAAAAUGAACACCGUUAUUGGAAAGUAUAUAAAAGGUCUUAAUAUUUUCCUGUCUUAUUUUACAUGAAAUGCUUUGAACAUUAUAUGAUCUUUCUUGUGAUCAGUAGUUUCAAAAAUCCCAGCAGAAUAUAUAUUGCAAAAAUAGCAUGACCAUCUUACUUGUGACACAAAAUACAACAAAGAUAAC